UGUUCUUUGCUACAUUAGUCAGUAGAGAACUUGAAUCCAAUAGGAGUUACCAGAAUUUCGAGAGUAGCGCUGAUAUGCUUUGAUACUUGAAGGACUACCAAUGGCGAAAGCAGGUAACUAGUUAGAGAUUGACACUGAGGUACGAAAGCGUAGGGAGCAAACAGAAUUAGAUACUCUGGUAGUCUACGCUGUAAACUAUGAGUGCUAGUAUUUUGUCAUACGAUGAGAUUCUUAGCAAACGCAAUAAGCACUCCGCCUGGGAAGUACAGUCACACGACAGAACACCAAAUGAUUAGACGGUCCCGAGGACCCGCAGUGAAGCAUGACACUUAAUGCGAUGACCAACAAG
Molecule: non-coding RNA, 349 nt
Filed under: Rhodotorula sp. JG-1b
Lineage: Eukaryota; Fungi; Basidiomycota; Microbotryomycetes; Sporidiobolales; Sporidiobolaceae
Description: Bacterial small subunit ribosomal RNA
Rfam family: Bacterial small subunit ribosomal RNA
Source: Rfam by way of RNAcentral